Molecule: transfer RNA, 65 nt
Filed under: Dipodomys ordii (Ord's kangaroo rat)
Lineage: Eukaryota; Metazoa; Chordata; Mammalia; Rodentia; Heteromyidae
Rfam family: tRNA
About the family: Transfer RNA (tRNA) molecules are approximately 80 nucleotides in length.
Source: Rfam by way of RNAcentral
GGUGGCUCAGUGGUAGAGUGCUUGUCUUGCAUGCAUGAGGCACUGGGUUCGAUUCCUCAGCACCA